Molecule: ribosomal RNA, 409 nt
Filed under: Rhacophorus kio
Lineage: Eukaryota; Metazoa; Chordata; Amphibia; Anura; Rhacophoridae
Description: partial 16S ribosomal RNA
Rfam family: Bacterial large subunit ribosomal RNA
Source: RNAcentral
CUUGAUAGCUAUAAGAGGUCCAGCCUGCCCAGUGAUAAAUUCAACGGCCGCGGUAUCCUAACCGUGCGAAGGUAGCAUAAUCACUUGUUCUUUAAAUAGGGACUCGUAUCAACGGCAUCACGAGGGUUACACUGUCUCCUCUUUCCAAUCAGUGAAACUGAUCUUCCCGUGAAGAAGCGGGAAUGAACUAAUAAGACGAGAAGACCCCAUGGAGCUUUAAACCUCACAGCAACUCUAACAUAUGUUUCCCCAUAACCCGCAGAGCAAUGCUAGUCGGUUUUAGGUUGGGGUGACCGCGGAGCAAAAACUACCCUCCACGACGAACAGAACUAAAUCUUUAUCCAAGAGCAACCACUCUAAGAACUAGCACACUAACGUAUCAUGACCCGAUAAUCCGAUCAACGGACCA